AUGACGACCGUGAGUGAGACCCGGUCCCUGACUUCCAGGAGCUCACAAUCUAGAGGAGAGAAAUCACACAUGCAAACUAGAAAAUCGUACCGUAAGUCCUGUAACAAAGGCUCACUCAUCCACUGCACAAGAUGUGUCGUGCUUGACGUGCAGCCUCAAGGAUGAACGGAUCAUUUUGAGAGCACUGAGGCCAAACGUAACUACUGUUCGUCUUCCGAACACGAAGGAUGUGACAGGAGCCGCCAGGCGCACGUUCUUCGAGGAGAGGGUCCUUCUCUUUGCACAACCAUCCCACCUGGUGUGCUCGCAAACAUCCAAUAAGUACUGCUUCCCGAGGGUGGAUUCCCUGUCCUCUCACUCACUAGACAAUUUCGCCCCAUCUUUCUUCGCCGGAAGGAAGGCUUUCUGGAGGGAAGCCUGAACUGAGUCUCAGAGGAUGUGUGGGAAUGAAACCAAGUUGUGUGUGUCAGAGGCACAGCUCGAGAAAAGCAGGAGAGAUGCAGCACGGCCACGGAGACUGCCACGCGAUCCAGCCUCUUGAGCCUGGCGAUCCCAAAGCCUUGACCUUGCUGGAGUCGUCUGCAGGUGGGCAAGCGUCGGGAGACAACCCCACUCUUGAGAGUAUGGGGCAGCAGCUAGAAUUCCAGCCCCUUAAGUCAGAGUGGCUCCGGCCGGUGGGCCGUGAGGCUGUGGAAUCGGCCAGACGCAGGAGGAUGCCGAGGGAGCGGGAAAUCGCAGCAAGUCGCAAAGCCGGUGAUCUUGUCAUCAACAGAGGGCUGCCGCGGGCUCUGUGUGGUUCCCACCUCUCUGCCCUCCACGCAUAGCCAAGUAUCCAGAAGCUGCACUUGGCUCUGCUCCCUCAGCCCCCGCAGCCCGCACCCCACCCUCCCCUGCACCUGCCUCCGAAAAGGCCUUGAGUCCCUCUGAUUCCUGGCGUCUCUGCAGCCUCUGACCCUGAGACCUGCGCUCCUGCCUCCACGUCCACAUCCCACGCCUUCCUGCUUUUCCCUCCUAAGGGUCUGACUGCUGCUACUGCCUGCGCCCCUCUGCGUCCCACUUCUCCUCUGCCAAUCCUGCAUCUGUUUCCCUCUCCGUCCUCUCUCCAGGUGAGAGCUUGGAUUCAGAGGCCAUUGAUACGGUCUAAAACUUCCUGAAUCACCAUCUAUGGCUCAAAUGCCUUUUUUUAUCCCCAAUGUGAUAAAAUACAUUUAACAUAAAUUUACCAUCAGAACCAUUUGGGGUUUGUUUGCUUGUUUGAGUGCACAGCUCAGUGUCAUGAAGCACGUUCGCACUGUUGUGCAAGCAUCCCCACCAUCCGUCUCCAGAGCCCUUUGGUCUCGCAAGCCUGAAACUUUGUACCUGUUGAACAACAGCUCCCCAUUCCGCCCCCCGCCCAGCCCCCAGCAACCACCAUUCUACUCUGUCUGAAGAUCAAGAGGUCCGAAGAGUGACAAAGGCUCUGAACAACGGUGGACGGAGUCCUGAUGUCACAUAUGGCCCCAGACCUUUCUGCUAGUCUAUAGAAACCAGUCCCCAGCAUUGGGUCUUUGUUCCUGUACUUUUCAUCUGCCUCAACACCCCUCCUCCUUCCGCACCCAGGAAGGUGGAUUCAGUCCUGCCCCUCGGUCCCAUCCUCCAGGGGUACUUUGAGCCUGCUCCCCCCUCCCACCGCCUUUCAGCACCUGGCUUCCCCUCUGACCAUGCUCACCCUAAAUCCCCUUUCCUAGACCCAAACCUGCUCGGGUGAGGCAUUCCCGGCUUGGGCUUUGCCACCUGCCCCUGACUUGCCUGGGAAGGCUCGCGUAGACGCGGCCUGGGAUGCCCUGGCUGCAGCACCAGGAGGAGAAAACCAUCGGACUUGGCCCAUCGGCUUCCCCUGAGUGCUCUGUGGAAGGCGGGGAAUGGAGACCACGAAGCCUCCGUAAAACCACGGCCCUGGCCUCACAGGAAAAGUUCCCCGGUGAAGUCACACCCUCCACGGAGGCAGCUCAGAAAGGCUGCGGAAAGAAGUCUUCUCUGGGAAUCGGGCAUGGGGGAAAACGUCCGCAGGGGCUCAAAAGCCAAGGCUGCAGGAAACAAAGUGCCGGUGGGGGUGGGGGCGUGGGGAGGGCGUGGGAGGUGGAAGUGACCGGCUGGUGUGCGUGUGCUGCCACCCGCCGGCGGACUUCGGAACUGCAGAGGCUCCCUUCUGGAACAGAGACGCGCCAAGCAUGCAAUAAUGGUGCACCCCAACGUGGGAAGCGUUAAGACAAGGUACCCAACCUUGCUGACAUUGUGGUUCAGGAUGGGAGAGACAGUAGCAGGUCGUUUGUGGUAAGUGCGAGCGACAGAGGGAGGGGAGCACGCCAGAAUGGCGGGGCUACUCGCCACCCCGUUAUCCAGUCCUCCAAUUCCAAGUCCUAAAUACUCCCAAAAUCCACCCAUUUCUCCCCGCUUCCGCUUCUCGCCUCAUCCACAUCUCCCUUUUGCCUAGCCUCCUCUCUAAAUAUUCGCUUUCUUUCCCUCAAUCAUCCACAGCAACUUGCUGUGAGGAUGGAGACGAGGUCAGGUGGGCGCUCAAUGGGGCCCCUCCCCCUCGGCCUCUCGUCAAUACAUCCCCCAUUCAAGACCAGCUCGUUCUUGCCUUCAGGAUUCUGCCUGACUGUCCCUGCCAUCACGCAUCGACUUCCUUGCCUCCCCCCUCGGAGGGCAGCUCAAACCUCACCUCUUUGGAGAAACCUUCCUGGACCCCUGUCCUUCUGCUAGCUAGUCUGGAAUGUACGGUUCCCUCUCGGCAAAUAUCAUGGUUUGAUGACAUCCGUGCCCAUUCAGUGGACCCAUGCGUCCUCCCCCCAAGCCUGCAAAUGCCACAUUGUAUCACCAGUGCUUCCCAUGGUACCUGCCAUCUAGUAAAUGCAGAAGAAACAUUUAUGGCAUGAACUUUAAUGGGCCUGUGGACUUAUGUGGGAGAAGGGACUUCUUAUGUGGCUAACUCUGUGAGCAUAGAGGUAUAUUCUCCACAGCAGGGUAGGGGACUACAUCUCUAGGUAGAGAGGUAUAGGGCCAGGAUUUCCCCUGCCACUCGGUGGGGUGCUUUAACCAUGGUGACAUCUCGCCCCGACCCUUCCAGUAAGACUCAACAUUGUUCCAUCCUGAAUGGGUGGGACUAAUGGCCCAGGGGGGUGAAUGUAGGGAAAGGUAGUGGAGAGAGACCAUUAAAGGCAGAAGGCCUCUGGGCCGAUUACCCCUAAAGCAUGUGAAGUGCACACAUAACUUUCACUGGGUCUCAGAGUGAAUGAUGUUGUGUAUACACUGUGGGGAGAGAGUCCUAAUCACCUACUUGGCAUCGUACCCUGGGACUCUGGCUGGCUGGAGUCAUUCAUCCCGCAACCUUUCGGGAAUGCCUGUCGUUCCACCCGCGGCCCCCAGAGGGCACUGUGGAGGCGCUUCCGGGCCGCCUGUUCGUGCGGGACUCGGAGAACAGGCACAGACAGAGGAGGCCCAGCCGCGCUGCGGGAGAAAUCGUUCAUUCUCCACAGCGUGAAGCUCGCCCGGGGCCGGAUGAGCCGGGCCGACCGCAGGGGUGGUGCGUACUUGGCCGCCGGGGUCCGGAGUCCGAAGGAGAGCAAAAAAUUAGGAGUUCUCGAAGAAAUGGCUCCCCCUUGUUAGGGGGGGGAGCUUUGGAGACGUUCCUCCCUGGGAGAUGGAUGGCAAAGGCUUAGAGUCACACCCCCUCCGCAGGGGGGGACUGGCGGUACCCACCUCCACCCGGGUGACCCUGCGUCUUCUGGAAGCCUGCUCUGUCACCCCAAGGCUUGCUCCGCAACGUCGGGGGUCCACAAACGCGGGCCCUCCCUGCCCUCAGGGCUCCAGAAGCCUGCGGAACGCUCCCCUGCGGCCAAGCCUGCAAAUGCCAGGUCUACGUAUCCCCAGUGUUUCCCAUGGGACCUGCAUCUAGCAGAUGCGGAGUCAGUCCGUCUUGGUGACAUGAAUUUGAACGGGGCUGCGGACUGCGUGCGGCUUCUCAGGGACUCUCGGCCGCAGCCACAGAGACGGAUCCCACAGCGGGUCAGUGCGGAAAACACCCCACGGGGAGGCGCUGGCAGCUCAGAGAGUAGCCAGAGGACGGAAGGGACGGACGUGGCGUGGACGGGAACAGGAACGAAGGCCCAGGCCACCACGGGAGAAACGAGGGGAGGACACCGAAGCCACCUCGGGGACGCUGGAGUGGGCGUGGCUGUCACCUUGUCACAACCAGGAGGACCCCGUGCUUCUUCGUGUCCCUCACUCUAUUCUGACUCUAGGCUGUGCUGCAGACCGGGGGAGGCUAAAAAAGAAGAAGAAAGAGGAAUUCAGUGUAACGCCUUCUACCUCCAGGCAGGCUUGUUCUUCGCUUUCCUUUUAUCAUCCGAAUUCUUCCAUGCACGUGCUUCGGACAAGAAAUCUUGGCUGCCUCUCUGGUCUGGAGGCUGUGGUGCCGCCCAGGCCCGCCUCCCAGCUGCCCAGGGCCCGCCGACAGCCCACAGCGGCUGCUUUGCCUCCCUGAACCCUCUUCCCCCCUCCCCCCAGGAAGGGGCAGCUCCAGACACCGACUGACUGGGAGGACGGUGCAGAGGUUGGCUCUGGCCUCAGAGAGAGAAGAGCGCACAAGUGGGAGAGGGAGAGAGAAUCUCAAGCAGACUCCCCACUGA
Molecule: long non-coding RNA, 4670 nt
Organism: Ailuropoda melanoleuca (giant panda)
Lineage: Eukaryota; Metazoa; Chordata; Mammalia; Carnivora; Ursidae
Exons: 4
Source: RefSeq, a predicted model, not a curated record